AGCGAACGCUGGCGGCAGGCUUAACACAUGCAAGUCGAGCGGGCAUCCCUGUUGUGUCAGCGGCAGACGGGUGAGUAACGCGUGGGAACGUGCCCUGCGGUUCGGAAUAACCCAGGGAAACUUGUGCUAAUACCGGAUACGUUCGAGAGCAGAAAGGUUUAUCUGCCGAAGGGUCGGCCCGCGUCUGGUUAGCUAGUUGGUUGGGUUACGGCUCACCAAGGCGACGAUCAGUAGCUGGUCUGAGAGGAUGAUCAGCCACACUGGGACUGAGACACGGCCCAGACUCCUACGGGAGGCAGCAGUGGGGAAUAUUGGACAAUGGGGGCAACCCUGAUCCAGCCAUGCCGCGUGAGUGAUGACGGCCUUAGGGUUGUAAAGCUCUUUUCUCCGGGACGAUAAUGACGGUACCGGAGGAAUAAGCCCCGGCUAACUUCGUG
RNAcentral lists this ribosomal RNA (437 nucleotides) under uncultured bacterium. RNAcentral describes it as "partial 16S ribosomal RNA". It matches the Rfam family "Bacterial small subunit ribosomal RNA", at positions 29 to 507 of the family's 1533-position model. The record is from RNAcentral.